This is an RNA transcript of Nycticebus coucang (slow loris), 1739 nucleotides long. It is a transcript of the gene named protein cornichon homolog 1-like, with no coding region annotated. The transcript has a single exon. Lineage: Eukaryota; Metazoa; Chordata; Mammalia; Primates; Lorisidae. The record is from RefSeq and is a predicted model, not a curated record.
UUUACAGUUGGGAUUAAGUUCUGUUUUUGUUGUAAUGUAUAGAUUUUUGGUUUUUACAUGUUCUAAAAGCCAUUUUUUUUUAAAUUUCAGUAGACCUAUGAAAGAGGAUAAUGGGAAAAUAAGCUAACAUUUACUGAGAAUUUAAAAUAUAGUGAGCUCUAUAGAAGGUAUUAAUAUUUUAUCUCUUUUAGUCUUUAUAAAAACCCUAUAUAAAGAUAUUAUCAGCCUAAUAACAUUAGUUGCAUACAUUACUAUACGUGAUUUAUGUAAUUUGCUUUCAGUUACACAACUGGUAAGUAGGCAGUCAGUUUUAAACCCCCUUUAUCUCAGAGCCUCAGAUUUCUUUCCUCUGUAUUUCUUCUUCCCUUCGAUAGCAUUUAAACCCAAGUUGGCAGCAUUAAGAGGGAGAAUUUGGCAUCUAGUGCCGCGGCAGGCGGCUGUCGCGGCUGUGGCCAAGGGAAGUGAAUGGUUUUACCCAGAGGGCCGUGCACCGCCUUUCUCCGCUGGCACCGGCGCUGCUCCCUGCUCCUCCCCGGCCAUGGGGUUCACGUUCGCGGCCUUCUGCUACAUGCUGGCGCUGCUGCUCACCGCCACGCUCAUCUUCUUCGCCAUCUGGCACAUUAUAGCAUUUGAUGAGCUGAAGACUGAUUACAAGAAUCCCAUAGACCAGUGUAAUACCCUGAAUCCCGUAUAUGAGUAGACCAGUGAUGAGCGGACCCGGGCUCUAUAACCCCACCACCAUCAUGAAUGUGGACAUUCUAGCAUAUUGUCAGAAAGAAGGAUGGUGCAAAUUAGCUUUUUAUCUUCUAGCAUUUUUUUACUACCUAUACGGCAUGAUCUAUGUUUUGGUGAGCUCUUAGAACAACACACGGAAGAAUCGGUCCAGUUAAGUGCAUGCAAAAAGCCUCCAGAUGAAGGGUUCUAUCCAGCAAGAUCCUGUUUCCAAGAGUAGCCUAUGGAAUCUGCUCAGUUACUUUAAAAAAAUGACUCCUUAUUUUUUAAAUGUUUCCACAUUUUUUGCUUGUGGAAAGACUGUUUUCAUAUGUUAUACUCGGAUAAAGAAUUUAAGUGGAAUUACGUAUAAAUUAAUAUGAAGUGAUUACCUCCAGAAUUGGCAGGUUUGAACUUGCACUCCUUAAGGAACAGCCCCAACCCUCUGGAUGACUGCACUGAUCCCUGACUGUCCUAGUCCAUUGGAAGCUCUGGUUCAUAGGAACUUGUAGGGCUCGUUUUGGUUUUAUUGAAACACAUCUAGUUACAAAUCAGCUGUAUGUAUCAGGUGCUAUGAUGAGCUGGAAUAUGUAUCUGAGGUGGGAAAUGUCUUGGGUUUCCCCAGAUAUCAUGGAGAUGAUCAUAUAUGGGCACGUUUACAAGAAUAAGAGUGUAAUUUUUUUUCCCUUUGACUUGAAUAUUAUCCCUGUAUAUUGCAUGAAUGAGAGAUUUCCUGUAUUUCCACCAGAGUAACAAAUAUACUUGCUUUAAUUCUUAAGCAUAAAUGAACAUGAUAUAAAAAUAUGCUGAAUUGCUUGUGAAGAAUGCAUUUAAAGCUAUUUUGAAUGUGUUUUUAUUUGUAAAACAUUGCUUAUUAAGAACUUCGUUCUUAUGCUUACUAUUCUAAUCUGGUGGUAAAGGUAUUCUUAAGAAUUUGCAAGUACUUUAGAUUUUAAAAACAAAGAAAAUUGUAUAACCGUCCCGCUGUCCCUUUAGUGCAAUACAAUAAAACUCUGAAAUUAAGAUUC